Molecule: ribosomal RNA, 253 nt
Filed under: uncultured bacterium
Lineage: Bacteria
Description: partial 16S ribosomal RNA
Rfam family: Bacterial small subunit ribosomal RNA
Source: RNAcentral
UACGAAGGGGGCGAGCGUUGUUCGGAUUUACUGGGCGUAAAGGGCGCGCAGGCGGCUCAUUUUGUCAGGCGUGAAAUCCCCGGGCUCAACCUGGGAACUGCAUCCGAAACUGCCUUGCUAGAGUAUGGGAGAGGGAAGUGGAAUUUCCGGUGUAGCGGUGAAAUGCGUAGAUAUCGGAAGGAACAUCAGUGGCGAAGGCGACUUCCUGGACCAAUACUGACGCUGAGGCGCGAAAGCUAGGGGAGCAAACGGG